Molecule: long non-coding RNA, 3009 nt
Organism: Panicum virgatum (switchgrass)
Lineage: Eukaryota; Viridiplantae; Streptophyta; Magnoliopsida; Poales; Poaceae
Exons: 3
Source: RefSeq, a predicted model, not a curated record
GCAACCCCGAACCCUAACUCCCUCUCCCCACCGCUCUCCUCCCUUUCCUGCUCCCCGCCGCCGCCACCCUCUCUCUCCCUCUCUCCUCUCUGCCUCGCCGAUGCCGCCUCCCCUCCCCGCCGUCGCCCCUCCUACUCUACGCAGCCGCCUCCAACUCUCGCGGGAUACAGAUCGCCAGCAGGCUACGGAGCGUACGCGCCGCGUCGGAGGGGGAUCUGGCGACGGCUAGGAGGUCUGCGGCGGUGGGGGUCAGCGAUAGGGAGAGCGGGAGCGGGGCGCGGAGAUGGAAGACUCGCUGGAAGAGGCGGAGGAAGUGGAGUUGGCUGCGGCAGUGGAAGCGGCGCGCGAGGUUCGGCAGCGCAAGCAGCUCGCAGGAGGCCCGUAGCGCGUCGACCAGCGGGAACACCGCGACAGGUAGAAGGUGUGCUGCCGCGAGCCACUCGAAGGCGUAGUCCAGCUGCAGAGCCUCGCGCGCCGAGGUCAAAGCCACGCCGCGGCUCGACCGGGGGCGUCCCGGCGUUGGUGGUGGCGCGGAGAUGGCGGCGGAACAGGACAUCCACGACCUGCCGCGGAACGACGCCAAACUAUGCGGCGCUCACGCCGCUCCGGUUCCUCGAGCGCGGCGCGCUGACCCACCCGGCCAGGGCCUUCGUCGUGCACGGGCCCGUGCGGUACACCUGGGCCGACACCUACAGCUGCUGCCACCGCCUCGCCUCCGCCCUCACGCGCCGGUCCGUCGGACACGGAAGCACGUGCGGGACAAUUGAUAUACAAGGCAGUUCUUAUUAGACAAGUGUGUUCUGAUUAUUAGCACCGACAACCACAAGCAAGCUCUCACGUGUAUGCUCAAUGUUACUCGAAAUAAAUCAAUUGAAAAGAUAAGCAUACAUUUUUUAUCACUUCUGUUUUACUGGUAAUGUUUGCUUGAUGCUAUUUUUGGUACAUAAUUUAUGACUCCCUGCGUAUAUGAGAGGAUAGCUAUAUCCUGAUUGUUCCUAUUUCCGUAAUUUCGGAACCAUCGCAUGAACACUGAAAUUAUUUCCCAGCAAAACUGGAGCAGAAUUCCUAUCUCUCUUGUCCAUUAUAUUGUUUGGGUAACAAAUUGUAGGAGUAGAUGCAGUUAGUAUCACCGAGUAUCUCUGUUCUCAAGGCGUCGCCUAGGCGUCCAUGCGCCGUCCACCGAUUUGCGCCUUGCUCGCCUAGGCGCCCGCCUUGCUCGCCUAGGCGUCCAGCCGCCCCAUCUUGCUAGGCGUCCGCCUUACCGCCUUGAGAACGGAGCCAAGUACAUUAUAAGAUACAAACAAUAGGAGAUGCAAGAGUUAUAUUGUUUGGGUUACUUUGCUUGAUUUCAGUUUUUAUAAACCAUAUAUGAAAGAGUUAUUGGCAAAAAAAAUGUAAUACACUAGGUACAACAAACAAAAAUAAAGAACUUUCUUCACCACUAAUAGCAGCAGCAGGCUUUGCGUGAUCUCGGAAUCUUGCAAUAGGUGAGGACUUCUAUGUUAAGGGGAUGGUACAGUGAGAGGAUCGCCUAUGAACAUUAUGAAAGGAAAUUCAGUCACAUCAAUACAUGUAAUCCAGCGUGGAUACUAAUUUACAAAUGAUUGCCUGAAUCAUUGCAACUUGUUCUGUGCAGUAUGCGUAUAACUUUUUCAAAUGAAUUUCUGAUCGAUUUAAUUCUCAAAAUGUGGAUAUGGGUUUCUCCCCUUCUCACUGGGAAGAAUAGUAUUAUGUUGUUUCAGUUUUGCCACUAUGGAUGUAGUCAUGUAGAACUCUCCUACACUCCAACAGUUUCAGUACUUUUAGUUGGAUAUGGGUUUAUCCUUAUUGUGGCGCUUCUCUUCACUGGCUUGCAUGCUUUCCAGCAAUACUCAAGGGGUGAGUGCCUUACAAUCACAAUUUAUUUUGAUGUAUUAACCAACUGGGGGUCUGCUGGCUGUUUAGCCCUCUUAGAAUGCUGCCUAGCAUGCAUGGGGUGCUCGAUAGGACAUGCAAUUUUUUGCAGCAUUUCUUCUGGGGGAUCAUAAGUGUAGCCAAUAUUUCUCUUAACCUUGCAGCGAUACUUGUGAUAUGCCCAUUGAUCUUUGGCUGGUUGCUUUUGAUAAGUUGAUAUCUGCACUUCAUAAUUGUUUGGUGUGAAAAUACCUCAGAAGACCCAACUUCUAUUUGCUUCAUCAUUUGCUUCUAAUGCCAUUCUCUGGCUUAUUGGAUGCAUCUGUUUGAAGCUUCACUACUCACUUUCCAGUCUUCUUCUCCCGGUGUGUCAAUUGUCAUACUAUAGUUUUGGUUCAGCAUGUCAGUAUGUAUGUUUUUUUUGUUGUUUCAGAAUUUAAACAGUGGAAUGCAUGUGUUUUGCUUGUCAAUAGGUAUUGAGGCUAGGAGUUAGUGCCCUUGUCGACACUACUGGAGGCCAAAUCAAGAUAGGGGAACCAUUCUGCAACUUUUAUUUCAAGUUUCUGCUGGGUCUUUUUCUCAGUGCUAUCUAUGUUGCAAUGGUCAUUCUUGUUCCUGUUGAAAUUGCUUUUCAUUUGGCACCUACUGUGUUCCCGUCAGACAUAUCACGUAAAUUCUCUAUGCCAGUCUUUGGCAUCUCAACUCAUUUGUUAAUUUAUGUUCGUGCUUGCAAAUUGCAGCUACUUUGAUCCUCCAAUUCAGGGCAGAUGGUGUCUGGGCCCUUUGACGGCGAUGAGGUCGCGGACCGGCUCACCUCCAACACCGGCAAGAUCAUCACCGACACAUCGUUGGGUUCGGGCCGAGGCGGAGGGAAGUAGAAGCAUUGCCAUCGCCGCCAACGGUUGCAGCAGACUAGCAUUCGUCCACCCAGAUGGUAGGGCGCGCAUCGCGCGCCUAAUGUUCUAGUAAAUGAAUUGUCCGCCUCUUCCUAUCAGCUUAAGUUUUUGGGUUGAAUUGGUUGGUGCAUGCGAUUCCUAUAUAAAUGUAGAUAUGUAUGGUUUCUUGGAAAUAUAAUGUCUCUAAAUUUAGGGGAAUUUCUCUUUUAAGUCUGGAUCA